GACCGACGGCGAGAAAGCGAAACAUGCUAUUCGUCGUAUCGAAGAGAUCACUGCAGAAAUCGAAGUGGGCCGCGUCUACACUGGUAAAGUGACCCGUAUCGUUGACUUUGGCGCAUUUGUUGCCAUCGGCGGCGGUAAAGAAGGUCUGGUCCACAUCUCUCAAAUCGCUGACAAACGCGUUGAGAAAGUGACCGAUUACCUGCAGAUGGGUCAGGAAGUACCGGUGAAAGUUCUGGAAGUUGAUCGCCAGGGCCGUAUCCGUCUGA
Molecule: unclassified non-coding RNA, 266 nt
Filed under: uncultured fungus
Lineage: Eukaryota; Fungi
Description: sequence contains ITS1
Source: RNAcentral